UGGGGAAUAUUGCACAAUGGGGGAAACCCUGAUGCAGCGACGCCGCGUGGAGGAAGAAGGUCUUCGGAUUGUAAACUCCUGUUGUUGAGGAAGAUAAUGACGGUACUCAACAAGGAAGUGACGGCUAACUACGUGCCAGCAGCCGCGGUAAAACGUAGGUCACAAGCGUUGUCCGGAAUUACUGGGUGUAAAGGGAGCGCAGGCGGGAAGACAAGUUGGAAGUGAAAUCCAUGGGCUCAACCCAUGAACUGCUUUCAAAACUGUUUUUCUUGAGUAGUGCAGAGGUAGGCGGAAUUCCCGGUGUAGCGGUGGAAUGCGUAGAUAUCGGGAGGAACACCAGUGGCGAAGGCGGCCUACUGGGCACCAACUGACGCUGAGGCUCGAAAGUGUGGGUAGCAAACAGGAUUAGAUACCCUGGUAGUCCACACCGUAAACGAUGAUUACUAGGUGUUGGAGGAUUGACCCCUUCAGUGCCGCAGUUAACACAAUAAGUAAUCCACCUGGGGAGUACGACCGCAAGGUUGAAACUCAAAGGAAUUGACGGGGGCCCGCACAAGCAGUGGAGUAUGUGGUUUAAUUCGACGCAACGCGAAGAACCUUACCAAGUCUUGACAUCCUGCGACGAUGCUGGAAACAGUAUUUUCCUUCGGGACGCAGAGACAGGUGGUGCAUGGUUGUCGUCAGCUCGUGUCGUGAGAUGUUGGGUUAAGUCCCGCAACGAGCGCAACCCUUAUUGCCAGUUACUACGCAAGAGGACUCUGGCGAGACUGCCGUUGACAAAACGGAGGAAGGUGGGGAUGACGUCAAAUCAUCAUGCCCUUUAUGACCUGGGCUACACACGUACUACAAUGGCGUUUAACAAAGAGAAGCAAGACCGCGAGGUGGAGCAAAACUCAAAAACAACGUCUCAGUUCAGAUUGCAGGCUGCAACUCGCCUGCAUGAAGUCGGAAUUGCUAGUAAUCGCGGAUCAGCAUGCCGCGGUGAAUACGUUCCC
RNAcentral lists this ribosomal RNA (995 nucleotides) under uncultured bacterium. RNAcentral's name for it is "bacterial SSU rRNA". It matches the Rfam family "Bacterial small subunit ribosomal RNA", at positions 355 to 1375 of the family's 1533-position model. The record is from RNAcentral.